CGCAGCGAGAGGUGCUUGCACCUUUCAAGCGAGUGGCGAACGGGUGAGUAACACGUGGAUAACCUGCCUCAAGGCUGGGGAUAACAUUUGGAAACAGAUGCUAAUACCGAAUAAAACUUAGUAUCGCAUGAUAUCAAGUUAAAAGGCGCUACGGCGUCACCUAGAGAUGGAUCCGCGGUGCAUUAGUUAGUUGGUGGGGUAAAGGCUUACCAAGACGAUGAUGCAUAGCCGAGUUGAGAGACUGAUCGGCCACAUUGGGACUGAGACACGGCCCAAACUCCUACGGGAGGCUGCAGUAGGGAAUCUUCCACAAUGGGCGCAAGCCUGAUGGAGCAACGCCGCGUGUGUGAUGAAGGCUUUCGGGUCGUAAAGCACUGUUGUAUGGGAAGAAAUGCUAAAAUAGGGAAUGAUUUUAGUUUGACGGUACCAUACCAGAAAGGGACGGCUAAAUACGUGCCAGCAGCCGCGGUAAUACGUAUGUCCCGAGCGUUAUCCGGAUUUAUUGGGCGUAAAGCGAGCGCAGACGGUUGAUUAAGUCUGAUGUGAAAGCCCGGAGCUCAACUCCGGAAUGGCAUUGGAAACUGGUUAACUUGAGUGUUGUAGAGGUAAGUGGAACUCCAUGUGUAGCGGUGGAAUGCGUAGAUAUAUGGAAGAACACCAGUGGCGAAGGCGGCUUACUGGACAACAACUGACGUUGAGGCUCGAAAGUGUGGGUAGCAAACAGGAUUAGAUACCCUGGUAGUCCACACCGUAAACGAUGAAUACUAGGUGUUAGGAGGUUUCCGCCUCUUAGUGCCGAAGCUAACGCAUUAAGUAUUCCGCCUGGGGAGUACGACCGCAAGGUUGAAACUCAAAGGAAUUGACGGGGACCCGCACAAGCGGUGGAGCAUGUGGUUUAAUUCGAAGCAACGCGAAGAACCUUACCAGGUCUUGACAUCCUUUGAAGCUUUUAGAGAUAGAAGUGUUCUCUUCGGAGACAAAGUGACAGGUGGUGCAUGGUCGUCGUCAGCUCGUGUCGUGAGAUGUUGGGUUAAGUCCCGCAACGAGCGCAACCCUUAUUGUUAGUUGCCAGCAUUCAGUUGGGCACUCUAGCGAGACUGCCGGUGACAAACCGGAGGAAGGCGGGGACGACGUCAGAUCAUCAUGCCCCUUAUGACCUGGGCUACACACGUGCUACAAUGGCGUAUACAACGAGUUGCCAACCUGCGAAGGUGAGCUAAUCUCUUAAAGUACGUCUCAGUUCGGACUGCAGUCUGCAACUCGACUGCACGAAGUCGGAAUCGCUAGUAAUCGCGGAUCAGCACGCCGCGGUGAAUACGUUCCCGGGUCUUGUACACACCGCCCGUCACACCAUGGGAGUUUGUAAUGCCCAAAGCCGGGGCCUAACCUCGGGAGGAGC
This 1399-nucleotide ribosomal RNA is filed under the name Leuconostoc holzapfelii. RNAcentral describes it as "bacterial SSU rRNA". It matches the Rfam family "Bacterial small subunit ribosomal RNA". The record is from RNAcentral. Lineage: Bacteria; Bacillati; Bacillota; Bacilli; Lactobacillales; Lactobacillaceae.